CCCACCAUGCUUGGCGGCAAGGAACCGAAACCCCGGAAAGCCGAACCGCUAAUGAAGGAGGGCGACUUUAUAUGCGAAGCACUGAGCAACCGUGUCAGAAACGGAGGAGGAAUUCUACACUCUGCCUCUCUGUGCCGCAGAGUUUCCUGGACUUCCAUGAAGCUGGUUCCAAGAGAAAGCCUUCCAAGAAGAGCAGCCCCAAAAUGCAGACACUUACAAGCCUAAUUACUGCCACUAAAUAAUAAAAGAAGAAACUGCAUGGAUCAUCCUGGAUUUCACAAAGUACAGUGCCAAAUACAAGAUGUUCAUCUGCAUGAAAAGAAAAUCUCCAGCAUCAUGCACCUCACAGCAUCCCAAGCACCAUGAGCUAUUUGAUUCCAGGAGCUGACCUGGUCCAGUGCAGCUGGUUUCACGGUUGGGCUGUCCGCUUUUUGCUGAACCCUGGUCGGAGAUGGCAUACUGCUGACGGCAGGUUCCUCCAUGUCAUUGCAAAUGGCAAGACUUCAUUCUUUUCAUGGCUGAAUAACAUUCCAUAGAUCCUGGAGAAAUGAUGUGCCCUCCUGGGAAAUUAACCGUAUGAUCAACUACACUUGAAAUUCAGAAGAGCUGCCAGAAGCUGCAGUUGUACAGCAAAACACCUCAGUGCCCCUGUGCAGAACAGCGUUUUCCUGCUGCCCCACCCACAGUGACAGGAAGAAAAUCACCUGGAAUAUGAGGACCAUGUUUUCUAACAAACAAAACAGAAACAAGAUACAUGGGCUGACAAAGGACGUGGCAACAGGAUGGAAUAUUUUAAAUCAGAUAGCAGUAUAUAAGGAGGGUGGCAGAGUGGCCCUUCUCAUGCCUACUCUUUGGUGUUGGAGAUAUAAAACCAUGAGAUACUUACACAAGGAAAGGAGUGAUCCCUUUUGAUUGAGUUCCUUAGGAAAACAUUUCUUUUUAUACAUAGGUCCUAGUGGAUGUAUCAUAUGAGAGUAAUGUUUCCUAUCACAGAGGAAACUCUGCUCCAAGAAUUGUACCAAAAUGUCACAACCAAACUAAAUAGUAUCCUUAAGAAUCCUCUAUUUGGGGAUCCUGAUGACUUUUGUAACAUAAAAGCUCAACUUUUUAAAAGUCUAAAAUUAAAUAGGUGUUGAUAAAUAAGCAUUUUCAUCUUUGGGUGUUUAUGCAAAGUUGACAUGUCUUUCAACUCUUUUGAAAUAAUACGCUCUACCUC
Neofelis nebulosa (Clouded leopard) is the source of this 1216-nucleotide long non-coding RNA. RefSeq lists it as uncharacterized. The record is from RefSeq and is a predicted model, not a curated record. Lineage: Eukaryota; Metazoa; Chordata; Mammalia; Carnivora; Felidae. The transcript is spliced from 7 exons.